Xyrauchen texanus (razorback sucker) is the source of this 298-nucleotide long non-coding RNA. RefSeq lists it as uncharacterized. The record is from RefSeq and is a predicted model, not a curated record. Lineage: Eukaryota; Metazoa; Chordata; Actinopteri; Cypriniformes; Catostomidae. The transcript has 3 exons.
GGAGAUAUUAGGCAGAAUGUACGAGCUGCUCUUUUCCAGUGCCAUCGGAUGAGGAUUUAUACUAUCAAGCUCCAAAAGGACAAAACCGCACUAGAAAAGUAUCACAAAAGUUAACAGAAGCUUGGACAUUCAGCCUAACAUUGUUUUUUCCAAGGAAGACAGAAUAUAAAGCAGGCUGGAAUGAGGACGUGAGGUCUCUGUCUGUCUCGCGAACAUGGAGGUCUGUUCCCAGUCACUAACGGCUCCUUUGUCCAAGCCUUCCACGGCUCCUUGCUCCAAGCCUUUGACGGCUCCUUGC